UGGGGAAUUUUGGACAAUGGGGGAAACCCUGAUCCAGCCAUCCCGCGUGUGCGAUGAAGGCCUUCGGGUUGUAAUGCACUUUUGUCAGGAAAGAAACGUCAUGGGUUAAUACCCCGUGAAACUGACGGUACCCGCAGAAUAAGCACCGGCUAACUACGUGCCAGCAGCCGCGGUAAUACGUAGGGUGCAAUCGUUAAUCGGAAUUACUGGGCGUAAUGCGUGCGCAGGCGGUUCGGAAAGAAAGAUGUGAAAUCCCAGAGCUCGACUUUGGAACUGCAUUUUUAACUACCGGGCUAGAGUGUGUCGGAGGAAGGUGGAAUUCCGCGGGUAGCAGUGAAAUGCGUAUAUAUGCGGAGGAACACCGAUGGCGAAGGCGGCCUCCUGGGAUAAAACAGACGCUCAUGCACGAAAGCGUGGGGAGCGAACAGG
RNAcentral lists this ribosomal RNA (429 nucleotides) under Acidobacteriota bacterium. RNAcentral describes it as "Acidobacteria bacterium partial 16S ribosomal RNA". It matches the Rfam family "Bacterial small subunit ribosomal RNA", at positions 355 to 776 of the family's 1533-position model. Lineage: Bacteria; Pseudomonadati; Acidobacteriota. The record is from RNAcentral.